Lycium barbarum (goji berry) is the source of this 837-nucleotide long non-coding RNA. RefSeq lists it as uncharacterized. The record is from RefSeq and is a predicted model, not a curated record. The transcript is spliced from 3 exons. NCBI's taxonomy places the organism in Eukaryota, Viridiplantae, Streptophyta, Magnoliopsida, Solanales, Solanaceae.
CACCCUCAAACAGAAAGAUGGAUGUAAACAUACUAGUUUAGUUGGAAAAAGUUUCAGAAUAAAGGCAUCAUAUAGGAGAAACCUCUGUUCAUGCAAAAGGUACACAUGCCGAAAAUUCAUUCUUUGAAGAAUUUUCAGACACAAAGAUAAGUAGCAACAGUAACAUGAGCUAUGGUAGCAAGCAGCAAUAUUGCGUUUUCUUGAAAACAAAAAAAUUAGCAGCAACGUUUUCCUUAUUCCAAAUGGGAAACGUAUGAUCCCUCUCACGAAGAAAUAUAAUGAGUUUUGCGCACCGCUUCAAUCUCGUGGUUUUAUUUUGUCGUCUUAUUGAAUCUGGGGUUUCUUCGAAGGGAAGUAAAGUGGUAGAAGAUCAUUUCUUGGCAUAUAAGGUUUAUCAUAUUAAUUGUGGAAGUUCUUGGCUGGACUGAGCUCUUGAACGACGUAAGGGGGCUGCGUUCAUGUCCGCAGGUACAGAUGCUCACGUUAGGUAAUCCGCCAGCUUAGGAGUCCUAUUCAGCUAUCUUGGAUAGCUCCCUUGUUCCGGAGCCUAGAUUUUGGUACAUAAUCUCUUGUGAUGUAUAUGUAUUUUAUCCAGGGGUACGGCGGGGCCCUGUCCCGUCAUAUGAUACUGUUGUUACUCUUAGAGGUUUGUAGACAUAUGUGUGGGUUGUGUAUAAGUUCUGUUCAGCUGUGUCUAUACGAUGUGCUAUGAUAUGAUGUCUGUCUGUAGUGACAGCCUUGUCGGCUUGCAUAUGACACGAUAUUGAUGUGUAGUGGCAGCCUUGUCGGCUUGCGUAUCAUUUUAUGAUUUGAUCAGUUGUGACUCCUCAGGAGACA